This is a long non-coding RNA of Astatotilapia calliptera (eastern happy), 1058 nucleotides long. NCBI's taxonomy places the organism in Eukaryota, Metazoa, Chordata, Actinopteri, Cichliformes, Cichlidae. The record is from Ensembl.
CGAAUUAUGACGCUUUUAUUGCCGUGUUGUUUAGGUUUGCCUUUUGUUUCUGCCACAAACAGUUGGUGCUUGAAUUCCCUGAUCUGUUUCUGAAUCUCCCCGUCUUUAAAGUCAGUCUCUUUUUUCUCUUUUAUUCUCCUUUUUUUAACCCCCUUUCCUCAUUCUCCAGCUGUCCUUUUGCUGUAUGUUUCCCCUCUCCCCUCGUCUCUCAGCUCUUAUCGUCAUUGUGUUUAUAUGAUUUUGAGAGUUGAUAGAAGAACCCUGGGCAAUCUUUUACUCAGACGCCAGACUUUCAUUUUCCUCUGCCUCAUACAUCAAUCUGCACCUUGCUUUGUUUUUGACCAAAGAGGUAUCAAAUAGACAGCUCCAGCCAAAGCAUAUUUAUUUAUUUCUUUAGAAACGUAUUCUCCCAAGCCACUAUCAGAGUCGGCAAUAAAGGGACAUCGAAAUGUUAUUUCUUAGCUUUCUUCUCCCUUUACCCCUCUCACAAUUUCCAUUGCUUUCUUGGUCCCAGUGUUGUCAUUUUACUUUGAGUGAGCUCUUCUGUUGAUCUCCCUGUGUGCCACACUUUGAACUCCUAUAAGUAACAGAGAAUGAAAAAAAUAAAAUAAAAUACUUGAAGUAUUUGCAUAGUAAAAGUAAAUGAAAUACUCUUUAGUGCAACGUUUUCAGCUGAUUAAAAAAAAAAAACUAUAAUCAAGAAGGAUCACACAAGACAGCGAUUUAAGAUUCACUUACCCAUGUGUUCUGUUAUUUCGGAUGAUUGGACCUUUUAUCAGGAUUUGGUGGGCGUGCAGAGACCAUGCUUGAUUGAUGCUUCCUUGACUCGUCUAGUAGCAACCGGGGUGAAACAACUUUCACUGGCUUCAAGUGUCAUUGUGUUUUUGAGAAAAUUACAUUGUCUGUUGUUGCUGAGCAACUUGCUAUAAAAACUACCUUUUUAUUCUCUUUAUUCCAGCAUCACAGCACACACACUAACAGAAAAAAAAACGAUUAAAAAGUAAUUGAUGACUAACUUCAACAGGCUCCCACAUACCAAGACUUAGUCAAUAGCCCUG